AUACGGAGGGUGCAAGCGUUACUCGGAAUCACUGGGCGUAAAGCGCGCGCAGGCGGCUAUUUAAGUUGGAUGUGAAAGCCUACGGCUCAACCGUAGAACUGCAUCCAAAACUAUUUAGCUAGAGGGUGUGAGAGGAAGAUGGAAUUAGUUGUGUAGGGGUAAAAUCCGUAGAGAUAACUAGGAAUACCAAAAGCGAAGGCAAUCUUCUGGAACACUACUGACGCUGAGGCGCGAAAGCGUGGGGAGCAAACAGGAUUAGAAACCCUAGUAGUCC
Molecule: ribosomal RNA, 274 nt
Filed under: uncultured bacterium
Lineage: Bacteria
Description: partial 16S ribosomal RNA
Rfam family: Bacterial small subunit ribosomal RNA
Source: RNAcentral